AUGACCAUUCUACAUGCAAUUUCUCUUCUCGCUCCUGUUAUGGGCUCUGAGAUUACUUGUUCCACACUUCUCCCUGUUGUCGUCAAUACAUCAAAAGAUAGGGUACCCAACAUUAAAUUCAAUGUGGCUAAGGUGUUGCAGUCUCUUAUCCCCAUAGUUGAUCAGUCGGUGGUGGAUAAGACGAUUCGUCCAUGUUUGGUUGAGCUUAGUGAGGACCCAGAUGUUGAUGUGAGAUUCUUUGCUACCCAAGCACUACAGUCAAGUGAUCAGGUAAUGAUGUCUACCUAGAUUGAAUGUAGUAAUUAGGAAUUCUUUUCCCCCUUUCCAAAUUCGUGAUCAAUCAUCAUCUUACUGAUAUAUGUAAUGGCUUACACAAGGGACUGAGGUUUCUUCCACUGAGACAAUCCUUUUCACUUGCACACCUGUUCUAUUUUUAGGAUAGUGUCUUGAAACACAUUACAGGUUAUAGCUUGUAUCAUGCCAUGUUAAUGCCAUUUCUGGUUUUU
Molecule: unclassified non-coding RNA, 506 nt
Filed under: Hevea brasiliensis (rubber tree)
Lineage: Eukaryota; Viridiplantae; Streptophyta; Magnoliopsida; Malpighiales; Euphorbiaceae
Source: RNAcentral